CGUGCUGUUUAUUUUUAAAACUCAACAUAUAAAUGCUGAAUAAAAUAAAAUAUGUUUGGUUCUGCAACAGGUUAUGUAUUCCUGUAAGAUUAGUGACGUUGCUGUCUGCAUAUUACUCAGAACUGCGGAAACAAAUUAAUUUCAGAGUGCAGAUAAACCUGAAUAAUUUAAUUUUGGAUGUAACGCGUCUUCUGAAUGGCUGACGUUAUUUUGUUAUGAGCCCAUAGACAUAAUUUAGUCAUGUAACCGUGACGUCAUCAACGUUUUUUCAUGGUUUUCUACGGUUUAAAAUGGAAUUUAGAAUUAAAGUAGAGUUAUGUGUUCUGCGCAGAUCUGCUACGCGAGUUAUUCAGUGUGCACCAAAUUUUUUAUGUUAUUUCUUCAUAGACAGAAAAAAUAUUACAGUCAUUCCUUAAAUGUUAAAAAAAUCCAUAUUUUGUGUGCAUAUAUGUUUAUUAUUAUUAUUAUGGGGACGAAGUCCCCAUUAACAGUAGAAAAUUCAAUAAAAAAAUAUUUUUUUUUAAAUCGAGAAAAUUUCCCGAAUUUUUCAUUGUACUAAUGAACUCAAAAUCGUUCAAUUUUUUUUUGUCGCGUUUUUUAAUUUCCAGAUCUGCGCAGAACACAUAACUCUACUUCCUUCUUCCGGUCAUGUUGUCGUGAGACUUUGAUUAGUCUAGUAAAAUAUAGGAACUCAAGGAACACAAUACCAAUAUUUCAUUUUUAAUCCUUCUUUGGUAUGAAUAAACAUUACCUGAUGCAUUUCGUUUCUUUGUUUACAUUGAACAUGACGCCAUAACUUAAAUAACGUCACAAGUAAAAUCCCUAACAACAGAACCAAAAUCGGAAACGUUACGGUAUUUCCGUUUCUUUUUUUUUUUUUUAACAAAUAUUUAAGUUACAAAAAAAAAUAAUUUAA
This 916-nucleotide long non-coding RNA is filed under the name Mytilus galloprovincialis (Mediterranean mussel). The record is from RNAcentral. Lineage: Eukaryota; Metazoa; Mollusca; Bivalvia; Mytilida; Mytilidae.